This is an RNA transcript of Osmia bicornis bicornis, 1271 nucleotides long. RefSeq lists it as uncharacterized. The record is from RefSeq and is a predicted model, not a curated record. The transcript has 4 exons. NCBI's taxonomy places the organism in Eukaryota, Metazoa, Arthropoda, Insecta, Hymenoptera, Megachilidae.
AUUUCACAAGUUCAAAAUUUCAACUGCGCAUCAAAUCAAACGAACGUUUCAUAUAGUAAAUAAGUUUUUGUCUUUCAUUUCGAGUUUGGAGCUCGAGGCGAACGGUCACAGUUGAACUCAGAGUAUAAAAGUGUUUGAAGGCAUCCAGUGUAUAAUUUUAUUACAAGUGUCCAUCCGGGUCCAGUUUUCAGUGGAGGUGCUCUUCCUCGUAGUCAGAGAAUGUCAGCUGCCUCCUGGGGUCUCUCGCCGCGUACAAGCCAGACGCCAUUGUUCGAUCAACAAUACUGAACCGAACCGCUCACAACAUAUAUCCCAUUCAUUUCAUCCACCCACUUUAUGCUACCCCCGUGCCCACCCCCGACGGAUAAGGGGGGAAACAAGGGGUCAACGAGGAUGAAGAAAACGUCAUGUCCGUUCGUUCUGCGGAAGAAGCCGUCACCCUCUUCGGUAGACUCGAAAGGUACCUGAAACCUUGCGGUGCAUUGCACUGGCUUCUUCAACAACUGAAAACGUGUCUGGUGUCCUUUGGCUUUGUUCGAAGGAAGGAGCCGAAAUCUGUGCACCACGUGCCUCGAAGAUCCUCCGGUCAAUGAAGCGGAAAAACCGAGGGCAGGAUCCUGACAUUUUUCAGAAUGUCCCAUCAGAAUGACCAAUCCUUGAAGUCCAUCAGUUGCUUUCCGAUGGGAAAAGCAACGAUUGCUGUUAGACCAUAAAAUCAACGGAUCGUUAAGAUCGAUUGUCCGGAUGUUUACGACUUCAGGAACAAACGGUGAGCCAUUGGAACCCCAUGGACGACAAUGGACACUGGUCACUCGGCAACGGACGAUCCUAUUGUCUUUCGACCGGCAGCACAAAGAAGAUGGUUCAAGUAUCCAGGCGAAUUGGCUGAUAAAUUAGGUUAAUCGAGAAUCGUGUUUUUUUUUUUUUCUCCUCCCUAAAAUGAUUUUUAUCGGUCGGACAAUACGCGGUCACGCAACAUGGCCCCGUUAAUAAAGUGGAAAGAAGCAACUCUGUUCACGAGCAGCUUGGCACGUGCCAAACAGUGUCAGCUGGUAAUGAUCGGCGAACGGUACCCAUACGAUGCCCGACAGCUUUUUAUCUCGAAACAAUAUCUCCUGGUAUUUCGAAAACGUUCGUACCGGCUACCAGAGGUGAAAGGGAUUCCGUGUAUAUCGAGGUAAACCGAGAGGGAAAAGUGGAAGGGAAGAAGAAAAUUGUAAACGUAAAAUAAUUUAGAAAAUAAGUUUUUUAUUAAGUUCAAACUUGAUACA